CACGUAGGGGGCGAGCGUUGUCCGGAUUUAUUGGGCGUAAAGAGCUCGUAGGCGGUUCGGUAAGUCGGGUGUGAAACCUCCAGGCUCAACCCGGAGACGCCACCUGAUACUGCUGUGACUAGAGUCCGGUAGGGGAGUGUGGAACUCCUGGUGUAGCGGUGAAAUGCGCAGAUAUCAGGAAGAACACCAGCGGCGAAGGCGGCACUCUGGGCCGGUACUGACGCUGAGGAGCGAAAGCGUGGGUAGCAAACAGGAUUAGAUACCCGCGUA
RNAcentral lists this ribosomal RNA (270 nucleotides) under uncultured prokaryote. RNAcentral's name for it is "partial 16S ribosomal RNA". It matches the Rfam family "Bacterial small subunit ribosomal RNA", at positions 524 to 792 of the family's 1533-position model. The record is from RNAcentral.